Molecule: ribosomal RNA, 660 nt
Filed under: Bacillus sp. JSM 082091
Lineage: Bacteria; Bacillati; Bacillota; Bacilli; Caryophanales; Bacillaceae
Description: bacterial SSU rRNA
Rfam family: Bacterial small subunit ribosomal RNA
Source: RNAcentral
UAACACGUGGGCAACCUGCCCCUUAGACUGGGAUAACUUCGGGAAACCGGAGCUAAUACCGGAUAAUCCCUUUCUCCACCUGGAGAGAGGGUGAAAGAUGGCUUCGGCUAUCACUAGGGGAUGGGCCCGCGGCGCAUUAGCUAGUUGGUAAGGUAACGGCUUACCAAGGCAACGAUGCGUAGCCGACCUGAGAGGGUGAUCGGCCACACUGGGACUGAGACACGGCCCAGACUCCUACGGGAGGCAGCAGUAGGGAAUCUUCCGCAAUGGACGAAAGUCUGACGGAGCAACGCCGCGUGAGUGAGGAAGGCCUUCGGGUCGUAAAGCUCUGUUGUGAGGGAAGAAGCGGUACCGUUCGAAUAGGGCGGUACCUUGACGGUACCUCACCAGAAAGCCACGGCUAACUACGUGCCAGCAGCCGCGGUAAUACGUAGGUGGCAAGCGUUGUCCGGAAUUAUUGGGCGUAAAGCGCGCGCAGGCGGCUUCUUAAGUCUGAUGUGAAAUCUCGGGGCUCAACCCCGAGCGGCCAUUGGAAACUGGGGAGCUUGAGUGCAGAAGAGGAGAGUGGAAUUCCACGUGUAGCGGUGAAAUGCGUAGAGAUGUGGAGGAACACCAGUGGCGAAGGCGACUCUCUGGUCUGUAACUGACGCUGAGGCGCGA